Molecule: unclassified non-coding RNA, 5592 nt
Filed under: Hevea brasiliensis (rubber tree)
Lineage: Eukaryota; Viridiplantae; Streptophyta; Magnoliopsida; Malpighiales; Euphorbiaceae
Source: RNAcentral
GGACACACCGCUUUAUUGCCUAUGCGACUGUGUCCUGUUUUUACAGGCUUUCUCUCUCUACUGGAUCUCACCUCUUUCACUAAGCGCACUCUUCACAGAUGCUCUGUGUGGUCUCUCUCUCUAUAGAGCUUGUUGUCUCUCUAGAAUUGACUCUGUUGUUUAGUGGGUUCUUGGACAAUCGUUUUCUAAAAGGAACUCUUCUCGUGAAGUGCAUGUGAAGUUGGUGGCUGAGACUGGGACGAGAGGGAGAGGGAGGGAGAUCUAAUCUGGUGGCCUUAAUAAUCCAACGGGUCGUUUUUGCUUUUUGGGAAUUUUCAGGUGAAUACAGAGUUUCCUUGUUACUUUCUUUUUGCUGCUGCUGCUACCGCUGUUUCUUCUUCUUCUUCUAGACCUUUUGGCCUCCUUUUCCUGAUGUAGCACCGCGCUCUUUUAUUCUAAACCAUGUUUAUUCUCUGCCCAUUUUGUCAAAAAGUUUCGCCCUUUUGUUCUUUAAGAUAAAAAGGUUGAGCUUUUGCUUGUUGGGUCUGCUAUAGUUGCUAUGUUACAUUUUUUGCAUAUUGAAGUAAAGGGUUUUCUGCUUUUAAUCUUUGUGCACUGAAGCUUGGAGGUUUAGUAUGAGGACUUAAUAUGGAGUGAUAGUGCAGUUUCGGCCUUUGAUAAAAGCUUGAGAUUUUGAAUUUAGUUUCAUGGGUUUGGGGUAGUGCUGUGUUUAUGCUGAUGGGUCUCUGCCCUUCAGAGUAAAUGAUGAUUAUUGUGAAGAGUUGUUUGUAGUUGGGGGAAUUUGGGGAUUUGUGGUGUAAUAAUUGCAAAAAGGUUUUUCACCCUUGCAAAUAAAUUCUUUGUAUUCGGUGGAGGAUCUCUGAUCGCUUGAAUUUUGGCAUUUUUAGUGUUUAGUUGCCUAAUUUUGAAGAUUUGGAGCGGUUGCAGAUUGAAGGAAAAUGCAAUAUAAUUUGAUUGAUUUUGUUACUCUGCAAGAGGUACUGCUAUCAUAUGCAUUUACCUUCUGAUCAUGACCCAGGCUGUCCGUAAUAGGAUUCUUAAGGAUGCAAAUGGUCAUAUCGGUGAUCAUCUUCUCAACCAUAUCCAUUUAACCAAUUGCAUUCAUCUGAAAAAUCAUAUGCAUAAGCAGAGUCCCAUACUGGCUGAUAGGUCGCUAAUGAGAGACCUCAUUGUUCUUCAGAGGUCCAGAUCAUUGAGGGACCCUUCUGCCAGUCCUCCUUCAUGGCACUCACCUUCUAUUGUUGAUUUGCUUCCGAAUAAAGGUGACAAGGAUGCCACAAUUAUGGGCGGUAGAAGGUCAGUUGGUGUUGAACGUCGAAGGGAAGGUAGGAGGUUGUCAGGUAGCUCGCCACACUUUGCAAGUGUAGCACCAUCAAAGGUUUUUCCUGGUGAGCUUAGUGGGGGAAAUGAUGCGAUAGCAGCUAUUAGUGACUACAGUAGCAAGAGUGGAGCUAGGGAUGGUAGGAGAGUUAAGAGAGAAGAAUCUAGUCGGAAGAGCAAUAGGGUUGAUCUUUUGGGUGGUGAUGAAUACCCUUUACGAGAUCAAUAUGCUAAUGGUUUGGUUAAGGAUACUAUUUCAGGGAAUUCAGAAUCUAAGUCUAGAAAGAGUAAACAAAAGGGAAGGCAUAGUCAAGAUGUUCAUAUUAAGACACUUUCUGAGCAGCUCAAUAAGGUUCCACUGGAUAUUGAUGUAGCUUCUUCUAACAUCCAUCUUAGACGGUCUCGACAGGAGAAAACUGGUGAGGAGCCUGAGACCAGCAUUCGCGGGUAUAGUGGCCUGAAUAGGGUUAAAAGGCGGAAGUUCCGAGGUACCAGAAGAACUAGGGCAACUCCAUCUGCUAGAGAUGUUGGGGGUCAGAAUGAAAUGUCUGUUGCUUCUAAUUCAUUGGCUGAAGGUUCAGCAAGACCAAGGUAUCACAUGGAGGAAGAAGAAGAAGAAGAAUAUAGGGAUCAAAACAUCACAAGAGUUCCUAGAAAUGGAUGUGGGAUUCCAUGGAAUUGGUCAAGGAUUCAUCAUAGGGGUAAAACAUUCCUUGACAGGGCUGGUAGAAGUUUUUCUUGUGGUCUGUCAGACUCAAGGUUAAGGAAAGGCGGCAUGGCUUCCCAUGAGAAAGAUGUUCCUAAUAUGCCUGUGGUAUCUGAUCAUUCAAGUUCAUCUACUAAAUCUGAUGCAGAGGUUCUGCCUCUAUUAGUUGAGGCUUCCGUAUCCCUAGAAAGCACUGAUAAUGCUGGUUGGGUGCAUGACUAUUCUGGAGAGCUGGGUAUAUAUGCUGAUCAUUUGCUGAAGAAUGAUGUUGAUUCUGACCUUGCUUCUGAAGCUAGAUCUGGUGGUCAACACAAGCUUGGGCGGAAACACAAUAGCAGGCAUCAAAAUUUGACUCAAAAAUACAUGCCAAGAACUUUCAGAGAUCUGGUGGGACAGAAUCUGGUAGCACAAGCUCUUUCCAAUGCUGUCAUGAGAAGGAAGGUUGGGUUGCUAUAUGUGUUUUAUGGGCCUCAUGGUACUGGAAAGACCUCAUGCGCUCGCAUAUUUGCCAGGGCUUUAAAUUGUCAAUCUUUGGAUGAUCCCAAACCUUGUGGCUAUUGCAAUUCUUGCAUGGCACAUGAUAUGGGUAAGAGUCAAAAUAUAAGGGAAGUUGGUUCAGUCAGUAAUUUUGAUUUUGAGAGCAUUAUGGAUCUGCUUGACAACAUGAUUAUUUCUCAUCUGCCAUCGCAGUUCAGAGUUUUUAUUUUUGAUGACUGUGAUACUCUGUCCCCUGACUGCUGGAGUGCCAUUUCAAAGGUCAUUGAUCGAGCACCCAGACGUGUAGUUUUUGUCCUUGUCAGCUCAAGUCUUAAUGUUUUGCCUCAUAUAAUUAUAUCCAGGUGCCAGAAAUUCUUUUUCCCAAAGCUGAAAGAUGCAGAUAUUACAGACACUUUGCAGUGGAUUGCAUCCAAAGAAGAUAUAGAUAUUGAUAAGGAUGCACUAAAACUUAUUGCAUCACGAUCAGAUGGAUCACUGAGGGAUGCUGAGAUGACUCUAGAACAACUGAGUUUGCUUGGUCUGAAGAUAUCUGUUCCCUUAGUUCAAGAACUGGUUGGGCUUAUCUCUGAUGAAAAAUUGGUGGAUCUUCUUGAUUUAGCAUUAUCUGCAGACACGGUGAACACUGUGAAGAAUUUGAGAGUGAUAAUGGAAACUGGUGUGGAUCCAUUGGCAUUAAUGUCACAGCUUGCUACAGUUAUCACUGAUAUAGUAGCUGGUAGUUAUGACUUCACAAAAGAAAGGCAUAGAAGGAAGUUUUUUCGACGACAACCAUUGUCCAAAGAAGAUAUGGAAAUAUUGCGUCAAGCUCUGAAAACUUUGUCAGAGGCUGAAAAACAACUUAGAAUGUCUAAUGACAAAUUAAUGUGGCUAACAGCUGCAUUGCUUCAACUUGCUCCUGAUCAACAGUACAUGCUGCCUAGUUCUUCUCCAGAAACUAGUUUUAAUCAUAGCCCUAUCACCCUAAAUAACGCAAAUGGAAGAGAAGUAGCCAAGAAAGGUGGUGAACAAGCUGAGAUUCCCAAUAAUGAGAGAAGCUUGUCAACACGUGUUAGAUUGGAAACUGCUAGAACUUCUGGUGAUUUCCAUAUCAAUGGUGCAUCAAGAGGUAUUAAUGUUGAUAGGAAAAGAAGUGGCGGGACUGGGAUGGCUCCUCAGUGCACAUCUGCACUGUCUUCUGAUGCAGUUAGGGUGAGUGGCAGGCAGAUGUCAGCCAAAAGCUGUAGAGGAUAUGAAGAAAUUUGGUUGGAGGUGCUUGGGAAGAUUCAGUUUAAUAGUAUAAGAGAGUUUUUGUACCAAGAAGGAAAGCUUAUCUCUGUCAGUUUUGGUGCAGCUCCAACUGUGCAGUUGAUAUUCAGUUCACAUGUCACCAAAUCGAGGGCAGAGAAGUUUAGGGCACAUAUUUUACAAGCAUUUGAGUCUGUUCUUGGGUCGCCAGUUACCAUUGAAAUCAGAUGUGAAUCAAAUAAAGACACAAGUGGAGGGUUCCAUGCACCUCUCAUUUUACCAGCUUCAAGGAAGGCUUCAUCUUGGAUGGCUGUAGAGCCAGAGACUACUACUGGAAGCAGAAUGCCUAGGAGGGGAGAAACUCUUUAUGUAGGGAGGAGUGAAAUUGUUGAAAUACCAGCUUCUCCCAGGGAAAUCAAGGGUAAUGGACAUGUUGACAACAAUGCAGAAUCUAGUAAAAGAGGUUUACAGCAUGCAAGAGUGGGAGAUUCAGCAGUUUCACAUAAGAAAUAUAGCAUCAGUCCUAUGUCAGAAAGAAGGAAACUUGGCGAGCAAAGUCAGAGUAAGAGCCUUGUGCGAAGCAAGGUUUCCCUUGCACAUGUAAUUCAGCAGGCAGAAGGAUGUACACAGCAAACUGGAUGGUCCAAACGUAAGGCGGUUUCUAUAGCUGAAAAGCUUGAACAAGAAAAUUUGUACGUAUUUUCUGUGCCAUAACUUUUUAACCCCAGUUUGUCAAGUCAUCUCUUGAAAUUUGAAGUUCAAUAAAUUAGAUAAGCUAAAAAAGGUAACCAGAGCAAAUAGUAUUGUACAGGAAUUAGCCACAAUAUUUAAUUAAGAAAUUAUCAGUUUGCGGUAAUUUAAUUAUAUAAUGAAAGAUUACAUAAGCAUGAAAGCUCCUUUUGUAUAUUCUGGUAAUACAUUUUGUGCUCCUGAAUAUCUCCAUAAUCUUUGAUUGGCUCUUAUGUACUGUAAUUUUACAGGAGGCUGGAACCUAGAUCACGAAGUUUGCUAUGCUGGAAAGCAUCUAGAGUUACCCGUCGAAAGCUUUCUCGUUUGAAGAUUAGGACGCGAAGACCAAAUUCACUGCUGAAGCUUGUUUCUUGUGGAAAAUGCCUCUCUUCAAAAUCUCCAAGGUAGAAGAAGAAAAAUUUUUCAAUGACUUUUAAGGAUUCAGAGCGCAACUUCAUUGUUACUUCUGUAAUUAGACAUUUUAUUGGCAUUUACUGGGUCAGAAUUGCCGUUCAUAUGUUUUUCCUUUGAAUAAAGCGUAGUAGUGCUUACCAAUGAGAAUUUAAGAAAGAAUUGGAUAGUGUAGCUUCUCUUAAUCAAUUUUCGUAUGUUUAUACACUCAUUCCUGUUAGACAGUUCAGUUUUUGUUUUUAACUUAAUUUGAUUUCGAAGGUUUGGAGCCGGUUUCAACACCAUUGAGUUGAAACUCAUGUAAGAUUAACUCUGAUUAUGACUCGAACUGUUAGGCAAAGACAUCAGGUAGACAUUUCUUGCCUAUUUAGUAAGGUGGACGUACAAGCCCUUGGAACUUAGCAAGUGUUAUUGUCAUUAAGGCUUUGAUUCAAAGGUAAAGCAGCGUUUGAUUGAGCCAAGGAAACUGUGAAGUCAACUUAGUGGUUGGUGGAAAAUAUUAUUGUUGAUUGUUUUUUUCCAUCUGUUCUCAUUUGUUUUUAACUAAUCAAUCUAUUGCCUCUUUAAUAAUCAAAUAUUUGUGUUGAAUCUUACACAUUGGAUGUUCAUCAUGACUAGUUGGUGAUUUGUUGGGAAAACUAAAUGCAAUUAAGAAGCUCGAAUACCAUAUAAUAAUACUAAUAUAGAACCCUUUUGCACUCAAA